GACGAACGCUGGCGGCGUGCUUAACACAUGCAAGUCGAACGGAAAGGCCUGCUUUCCCUUGUGGAUUUCGGGUACUCGAGUGGCGAACGGGUGAGUAACACGUGAGGGAUCUGCCCCCAACUUGGGGAUAAGCCUGGGAAACUGGGUCUAAUUCCCGAUAGGACUGCAGGGUGGUGCCUGUGGUGGAAAACGAUUUUCUAGUGGUUGGGGAUGAGCUCGCGGCCUAUCAGCUUGUUGGUGGGGUAAUGGCCUACCAAGGCGGCGACGGGUAGCCGGCCUGAGAGGGUGGACGGCCACAUUGGGACUGAGAUACGGCCCAGACUCCUACGGGAGGCAGCAGUGGGGAAUAUUGCACAAUGGGCGGAAGCCUGAUGCAGCGACGCCGCGUGGGGGAUGACGGCCUUCGGGUUGUAAACUCCUUUCGACCGCGAGGAAGCCACCUGGUUGGAAGGGUGGUGACGGUAGUGGUAGAAGAAGCACCGGCUAACUACGUG
Molecule: ribosomal RNA, 494 nt
Filed under: uncultured bacterium
Lineage: Bacteria
Description: partial 16S ribosomal RNA
Rfam family: Bacterial small subunit ribosomal RNA
Source: RNAcentral